UACGUAGGGUGCGAGCGUUAAUCGGAAUUACUGGGCGUAAAGGGCGCGCAGGCGGCAGACCAAGUCAGGCGUGAAAGCCCCGGGCUUAACCUGGGAGGUGCGUCUGGGACUGGGUGGCUAGAGUUCGGGAGAGGGAAGCGGAAUUCCGGGUGUAGCGGUGAAAUGCGUAGAUAUCCGGAGGAACACCGGUGGCGAAGGCGGCUUCCUGGACCGACACUGACGCUGAGGCGCGAAAGCUAGGGGAGCAAACGGG
Molecule: ribosomal RNA, 253 nt
Filed under: uncultured bacterium
Lineage: Bacteria
Description: partial 16S ribosomal RNA
Rfam family: Bacterial small subunit ribosomal RNA
Source: RNAcentral